RNAcentral lists this ribosomal RNA (253 nucleotides) under uncultured bacterium. Its description in RNAcentral is "partial 16S ribosomal RNA". It matches the Rfam family "Bacterial small subunit ribosomal RNA", at positions 524 to 776 of the family's 1533-position model. The record is from RNAcentral.
UACAGAGGUCUCAAGCGUUGUUCGGAUUCAUUGGGCGUAAAGGGUGCGUAGGCGGCGCGGUAAGUCGGGUGUGGAAUCUCGGAGCUUAACUCCGAAACUGCAUUCGAUACUGCCGUGCUUGAGGACUGGAGAGGAGACUGGAAUUUACGGUGUAGCGGUGAAAUGCGUAGAUAUCGUAAGGAAGACCAGUGGCGAAGGCGGGUCUCUGGACAGUUCCUGACGCUGAGGCACGAAGGCCAGGGGAGCAAACGGG